RNAcentral lists this ribosomal RNA (484 nucleotides) under uncultured bacterium. RNAcentral's name for it is "partial 16S ribosomal RNA". It matches the Rfam family "Bacterial small subunit ribosomal RNA", at positions 30 to 507 of the family's 1533-position model. The record is from RNAcentral.
AUUGAACGCUGGCGGCAGGCCUAACACAUGCAAGUCGAGCGGAUGAAGGGAGCUUGCUCCUGGAUUCAGCGGCGGACGGGUGAGUAAUGCCUAGGAAUCUGCCUGGUAGUGGGGGAUAACGUCCGGAAACGGGCGCUAAUACCGCAUACGUCCUGAGGGAGAAAGUGGGGGAUCUUCGGAUCUCACGCUAUCAGAUGAGCCUAGGUCGGAUUAGCUAGUUGGUGGGGUAAAGGCCUACCAAGGCGACGAUCCGUAACUGGUCUGAGGGGAUGAUCAGUCACACUGGAACUGAGACACGGUCCAGACUCCUACGGGAGGCAGCAGUGGGGAAUAUUGGACAAUAGGCGAAAGCCUGAUCCAACCAUGCCGCGUGUGUGAAGAAGGUCUUCGGAUUGUAAAGCACUUUAAGUUGGGAUGAAGGGCAGUAAGUUAAUACCUUGCUGUUUUGACGUUACCAACAGAAUAAGCACCGGCUAACUUCGUG